GCACCAUUAGCUCAGUUGGUAGAGCAGUCGCCUCUUAAGCGAACGGUCGGGAGUUCAAAUCUCUCAUGGUGCA
RNAcentral lists this transfer RNA (73 nucleotides) under bacterium. RNAcentral's name for it is "tRNA-Lys". It matches the Rfam family "tRNA". Rfam says of the family: Transfer RNA (tRNA) molecules are approximately 80 nucleotides in length. Their secondary structure includes four short double-helical elements and three loops (D, anti-codon, and T loops). Further hydrogen bonds mediate the characteristic L-shaped molecular structure. tRNAs have two regions of fundamental functional importance: the anti-codon, which is responsible for specific mRNA codon recognition, and the 3' end, to which the tRNAs corresponding amino acid is attached (by aminoacyl-tRNA synthetases). tRNAs cope with the degeneracy of the genetic code in two manners: having more than one tRNA (with a specific anti-codon) for a particular amino acid; and 'wobble' base-pairing, i.e. permitting non-standard base-pairing at the 3rd anti-codon position. The record is from RNAcentral.